GGUUGCUGGGGCACGCUCGGCCGGCGUUGCCAGCCGGGAGGAGAAAGUUGGAGACGGUCGCCGUGAGCUGUGUCUGGUGCGCACCAGCAUCCCGAGGCCCCGGAGGCGGAGCGCUCAGCCAGCUGCUCAGCGGCAGGAGGGGCUGGUUUGCAUCCAGUGUCCUUACGUCCCGGCUCUGGGAUAUGAGGUGCCCAUCAUAAGCUCCAGAGAGUCGCCUUCCCCGGAGCCCAGCAGAGAAGUGGGGGAAACAUGAAGUCCAACCCUGCCAUCCAAGCUGCCAUCGACCUCACUGCAGGGGCCGCAGGGGGCACAGCAUGCGUGCUGACCGGGCAGCCCUUCGACACGAUGAAAGUGAAGAUGCAGACAUUCCCCGAUCUGUACCGUGGGCUCACUGACUGCUGCCUGAAGACCUACUCCCAGGUGGGCUUCCGAGGCUUCUACAAGGGUACCAGCCCGGCGCUG
Talpa occidentalis (Iberian mole) is the source of this 462-nucleotide long non-coding RNA. RefSeq lists it as uncharacterized. NCBI's taxonomy places the organism in Eukaryota, Metazoa, Chordata, Mammalia, Eulipotyphla, Talpidae. The record is from RefSeq and is a predicted model, not a curated record. The transcript is spliced from 3 exons.